Molecule: non-coding RNA, 45 nt
Filed under: Schistosoma mansoni
Lineage: Eukaryota; Metazoa; Platyhelminthes; Trematoda; Strigeidida; Schistosomatidae
Source: RNAcentral
AUCCAGUUGACGAGUGUCAAAUAGGACGAAACGCGAGUCCUGGAU